RNAcentral lists this ribosomal RNA (446 nucleotides) under uncultured bacterium. RNAcentral's name for it is "bacterial SSU rRNA". It matches the Rfam family "Bacterial small subunit ribosomal RNA", at positions 330 to 792 of the family's 1533-position model. The record is from RNAcentral.
UCCAGACUCCUACGGGAGGCAGCAGUGGGGGAUAUUGCACAAUGGGGGAAACCCUGAUGCAGCGACGCCGCGUGAGUGAAGAAGUAUUUCGGUAUGUAAAGCUCUAUCAGCAGGGAAGAAAAAAGACGGUACCUGACUAAGAAGCCCCGGCUAACUACGUGCCAGCAGCCGCGGUAAUACGUAGGGGGCAAGCGUUAUCCGGAUUUACUGGGUGUAAAGGGAGCGUAGACGGCAAUACAAGUCGGAAGUGAAAUACCCGGGCUCAACCUGGGAACUGCUUUGGAAACUGUAUGGCUGGAGUGCUGGAGAGGUAAGCGGAAUCCCUAGUGUAGCGGUGAAAUGCGUAGAUAUUAGGAGGAACACCAGUGGCGAAGGCGGCUUACUGGACAGUAACUGACGUUGAGGCUCGAAAGCGUGGGGAGCAAACAGGAUUAGAUACCCCGGUA